Molecule: ribosomal RNA, 1392 nt
Filed under: Enterobacter sp. CL3
Lineage: Bacteria; Pseudomonadati; Pseudomonadota; Gammaproteobacteria; Enterobacterales; Enterobacteriaceae
Description: bacterial SSU rRNA
Rfam family: Bacterial small subunit ribosomal RNA
Source: RNAcentral
GCUGACGAGUGGCGGACGGGUGAGUAAUGUCUGGGAAACUGCCUGAUGGAGGGGGAUAACUACUGGAAACGGUAGCUAAUACCGCAUAACGUCGCAAGACCAAAGAGGGGGACCUUCGGGCCUCUUGCCAUCGGAUGUGCCCAGAUGGGAUUAGCUAGUAGGUGGGGUAACGGCUCACCUAGGCGACGAUCCCUAGCUGGUCUGAGAGGAUGACCAGCCACACUGGAACUGAGACACGGUCCAGACUCCUACGGGAGGCAGCAGUGGGGAAUAUUGCACAAUGGGCGCAAGCCUGAUGCAGCCAUGCCGCGUGUAUGAAGAAGGCCUUCGGGUUGUAAAGUACUUUCAGCGGGGAGGAAGGCGAUAAGGUUAAUAACCUUGUCGAUUGACGUUACCCGCAGAAGAAGCACCGGCUAACUCCGUGCCAGCAGCCGYGUGWUAAUAACGAGAGGGUUGCCAAGCGUUAAUYSGAAUUACUGGGCGUAAAGCGCACGCAGGCSGUUCUGUCAAGUCGGAUGUGAAAUCCCCGGGCUCAACCUGGGAACUGCAUUCGAAACUGGCAGGCUAGAGUCUUGUAGAGGGGGGUAGAAUYCCAGGUGUAGCGGUGAAAUGCGUAGAGAUCUGGAGGAAUACCGGUGGCGAAGGCGGCCCCCUGGACAAAGACUGACGCUCAGGUGCGAAAGCGUGGGGGAGCAAACAGGAUUAGAUACCCUGGUAGUCCACGCCGUAAACGAUGUCGACUUGGAGUUGUGCCCUWUGAGGCGUGGGCUUCCGAGAGCUAACGCGUUAAGUCGACGCCUGGGGAGUACGGCCGCAAGGUUAAAACUCAAAUGAAUUGACGGGGGCCCGCACAAGCGGUGGAGCAUGUGGUUUAAUUCGAUGCAACGCGAAGAACCUUACCUACUCUUGACAUCCAGAGAACUUWGCAGAGAUGSUUUGGUGCCUUCGGGAACUCUGAGACAGGUGCUGCAUGGCUGUCGUCAGCUCGUGUUGUGAAAUGUUGGGUUAAGUCCCGCAACGAGCGCAACCCUUAUCCUUUGUUGCCAGCGGUUAGGCCGGGAACUCAAAGGAGACUGCCAGUGAUAAACUGGAGGAAGGUGGGGAUGACGUCAAGUCAUCAUGGCCCUUACGAGUAGGGCUACACACGUGCUACAAUGGCGCAUACAAAGAGAAGCGACCUCGCGAGAGCAAGCGGACCUCAUAAAGUGCGUCGUAGUCCGGAUUGGAGUCUGCAACUCGACUCCAUGAAGUCGGAAUCGCUAGUAAUCGUGGAUCAGAAUGCCACGGUGAAUACGUUCCCGGGCCUUGUACACACCGCCCGUCACACCAUGGGAGUGGGUUGCAAAAGAAGUAGGUAGCUUAACMUUYGGGAGSRCGUUACCAUUKUKKUUU